Molecule: small nuclear RNA, 103 nt
Organism: Rattus norvegicus (Norway rat)
Lineage: Eukaryota; Metazoa; Chordata; Mammalia; Rodentia; Muridae
Source: Ensembl
GCUCUUCUGCAGCACAAAUACUAAAAUUGGAACAAUACAGAGACUAUUAGCAUGGCCCCUGUGAAAAGAUGACAUGCAAAUUCAUGAAGUGUUCCAUAUUUUC